GAUCCUGGCUCAGGAUGAACGCUGGCGGCGUGCUUAACACAUGCAAGUCGAACGGAACUCCUGUGUUUGAGGUUUCGGCCAAGAAGACAGGAUGUUUAGUGGCGGACGGGUGAGUAACGCGUGAGUAACCUGCCUUGGAGUGGGGAAUAACACAGUGAAAACUGUGCUAAUACCGCAUAAUGCAUUUGGGUCGCAUGAUCCUGAAUGCCAAAGAUUUAUCGCU
RNAcentral lists this ribosomal RNA (223 nucleotides) under uncultured bacterium. RNAcentral's name for it is "partial 16S ribosomal RNA". It matches the Rfam family "Bacterial small subunit ribosomal RNA", at positions 15 to 219 of the family's 1533-position model. The record is from RNAcentral.